UACAGAGGGUGCAAGCGUUGUCCGGAUUUAUUGGGUUUAAAGGGUGCGUAGGUGGCUUUUUAAGUCAUGGGUGAAAGCCCGCAGCUCAACUGUGGAAUUGCCCGUGAUACUGAGGAGCUUGAGUGCGGUUGAGGCAGCUGGAAUUGGUGGUGUAGCGGUGAAAUGCAUAGAUACCACCAGGAACACCGAUUGCGAAGGCAGGUUGCUAAGCCGUAACUGACACUGAGGCACGAAAGCGUGGGGAGCAAACAGG
Molecule: ribosomal RNA, 253 nt
Filed under: uncultured bacterium
Lineage: Bacteria
Description: partial 16S ribosomal RNA
Rfam family: Bacterial small subunit ribosomal RNA
Source: RNAcentral